ACUCCUACGGAGGCAGCAGUGGGGAAUAUUGCACAAUGGGGGAAACCCUGAUGCAGCCAUGCCGCGUGUGUGAAGAAGGCCUUCGGGUUGUAAAGCACUUUCAGUAGGGAGGAAGGUAGUGUAGUUAACACCUGCAUUAUUUGACGUUACCUACAGAAGAAGCACCGGCUAACUCCGUGCCAGCAGCCGCGGUAAUACGGAGGGUGCGAGCGUUAAUCGGAAUUACUGGGCGUAAAGCGCAUGCAGGCGGCCUGUUAAGUCAGAUGUGAAAGCCCGGGGCUUAACCUCGGAAUUGCAUUUGAAACUGGCAGGCUAGAGUCUUGUAGAGGGGUUAGGAAUUUCAGGUGUAGCGGUGAAAUGCGUAGAGAUCUGAAGGAAUACCAGUGGCGAAGGCGGCCCCUGGACAAAGACUGACGCUCAGAUGCGAAAGCGUGGGAGCAAACAGGAUUAGAUACCCCUGGUAGGUCAGUC
This 471-nucleotide ribosomal RNA is filed under the name uncultured bacterium. Its description in RNAcentral is "bacterial SSU rRNA". It matches the Rfam family "Bacterial small subunit ribosomal RNA", at positions 335 to 800 of the family's 1533-position model. The record is from RNAcentral.